RNAcentral lists this ribosomal RNA (488 nucleotides) under uncultured bacterium. Its description in RNAcentral is "partial 16S ribosomal RNA". It matches the Rfam family "Bacterial small subunit ribosomal RNA", at positions 28 to 523 of the family's 1533-position model. The record is from RNAcentral.
GAUAAACGCUGGCGGCGCACAUAAGACAUGCAAGUCGAACGAACUUAAUUUAAAAGUUUACUUUUAAAAGCGGUUAGCGGCGGACUGGUGAGUAACGCGUAAGCAAUCUGCCUAUCAGAGGGGAAUAACAGUGAGAAAUCAUUGCUAAUACCGCAUAAGCUGUGAGUAUCACAUGAUACAAACAGAAAAGAAGUAAUUCGCUGAUAGAUGAGCUUGCGUCUGAUUAGCUAGUUGGUGAGGUAACGGCUCACCAAGGCGACGAUGCGUAGCCGACCUGAGAGGGUGAUCGGCCACAUUGGGACUGAGACACGGCCCAGACUCCUACGGGAGGCAGCAGUGGGGAAUAUUGCACAAUGGGGGAAACCCUGAUGCAGCAACGCCGCGUGAGUGAUGACGGCCUUCGGGUUGUAAAGCUCUGUCUUCAGGGACGAUAAUGACGGUACCUGAGGAGGAAGCCACGGCUAACUACGUGCCAGCCGCCGCUGUAA